UUGAUUUACCGGCAUGCAUUUAUGUAUGAUCUUAUGUUCAUGGACUGCACUAUCUGAUUUAUUGCCGUAUUUUUGCCCUUCAAUAUCCUAGGCCCUUAUUAGCCCAAUCACGAGCACUAGGAGCUCAAGAACGCACUGGCCACCGUGGUCCCGCCCACCAACCCCAUGGAGCUCACCAACCAUGACCUCGAGCAGUUCCAAACCGUGCCUGCUUCAGUGGAUGAUGAGUAGUGAAGCUCAUGUUGAUUUUGUCUCUACCAGUUGCGGCUAGCUUCUGUGUGCCCUUCGUCUCCGGCAAGAAGAGUUCGGACCUGAAGUCUGCAUCAGACUUUGGCCUGCAAAGUUUGUACCAUGGUGAUUUGCUUUUGGUUUUAGUUAGUAUUUAAAGCUGUCAGCUAGGUUGUUUGGUAGCUAUGCACACUUGCUGUUGCAGGUAGAUUUAUGGUGCUCGGAUGUGCUAUAAUAUGGAUGCUCCAAAUGCCGGACCGACACCUGAUGGUAGGAUAGAUUGGUGCUCAGAUGUAACCAUGGUGAUUGGAUGUACUAUGAUGUUGAUGAUUGAGAUGCUGGAUAGACACCCGAUGGAUAGGAUAGCUUCAUGCUCGAAUGUAUUGUAAUAUUUUGUAUUUAGAUGCCAGAAAGACACCUGAUGGCUAGGAUAGCUUUUCGUGCUCAAAUGUGCUGUAAUAUUUAUGAUUCAAAUGCUAGAUAGAUAGUUAACAUGAUGAUGAUGUGUUUGCUACGCGAUAUGGUACCUUCGUAUUGAAUUCAUCUUAUACCAUGUAUAUAGUUUAAUUA
Long non-coding RNA from Panicum virgatum (switchgrass), 798 nucleotides. RefSeq lists it as uncharacterized. Lineage: Eukaryota; Viridiplantae; Streptophyta; Magnoliopsida; Poales; Poaceae. The transcript is spliced from 2 exons. The record is from RefSeq and is a predicted model, not a curated record.